Molecule: ribosomal RNA, 540 nt
Filed under: uncultured bacterium
Lineage: Bacteria
Description: bacterial SSU rRNA
Rfam family: Bacterial small subunit ribosomal RNA
Source: RNAcentral
ACUAAUACCCCAUAACACAGGGGUACCGCAUGGUAAUAUAUGUUAAAGAUGCAAAUUGGUUAUGGAUGGGCAUGCGCAGGAUUAGGUAGUUGGCGGGGUAACGGCCCACCAAGCCCGCGAUCCUUACGGGAACUGAGAGGUUUGUCCCCCACACUGGUACUGAGACAGGGACCAGACUCCUACGGGAGGCAGCAGUGAGGAAUAUUGGUCAAUGGUCGAAAGACUGAACCAGCCAAGUCGCGUGAAGGAAGACGGUACUAAGUAUUGUAAACUUCUUUUGUUCGGGGGUAAAAUGAGGGACGUGUCCUUAAUUGCAAGUACCGGACGAAUAAGCAUCGGCUAACUCCGUGCCAGCAGCCGCGGUAAUACGGAGGAUGCGAGCGUUAUCCGGAUUUAUUGGGUUUAAAGGGUGCGUAGAUGGUCUGAUAAGUCAGCGGUGAAAUGUCCAUGCUUAACAUGGGAACUGCCGUUGAAACUGCCGGACUUGAGAUUGGACGAGGUAUGCGGAAUUCGUAGUGUAGCGGUGAAAUGCAUAGAUAU